ACGUCGGGGCCCGUUCCCCCGUCGGGGGACAGGGUGACAGGUGGUGCAUGGUUGUCGUCAGCUCGUGUCGUGAGAUGUUGGGUUAAGUCCCGUAACGAGCGCAACCCUUACCCUUAGUUGUUUCCCGAAAGGAUUACCCUCUAAGGGGACUGCCCCGGACAACGGGGAGGAAGGUGGGGAUGACGUCAAGUCCGCAUGCUCCUUACGUCUAGGGCUACACACGUCCUACAAUGGGGUCGACAGUGGGAUGCAAAGCCGCGAGGUGGAGCCAAUCCCCAAACGGCCUCUCAGUUCGGAUAGUAGUCUGCAACUCGACUACUUGAAGUCGGAAUCGCUAGUAAUGGCGGAUCAGCAUGCCGCCGUGAAUACGUUCCCGGGUCUU
Molecule: ribosomal RNA, 382 nt
Filed under: uncultured bacterium
Lineage: Bacteria
Description: bacterial SSU rRNA
Rfam family: Bacterial small subunit ribosomal RNA
Source: RNAcentral